UUUUAUUUCACAACAAAGUCAUUUAGACGUUGUGUGGGGAUUACUGUCUGGCUAAUAAUACUAGGAUAUAAAAAUGUUGUUUUUCGGAAUUAUAUCUGGAUUCUUUCGAACUUAAAAGAGGAAAGAAUGAAGAGCGAUGAAGUACUUGUUUCUAAUGUCGAAAUAAAAUGCGAUUCGAUUAGAUCGCUUCCUACAUAUAGUAUCUUUUCUAAUGCAAAUCGAUUCGAUUCGUUUCGUUUCCUUACCUCACCUUUUUGCUGAACCCUCCUCUGAAUUCCUAAUUUUCUGCAUUCCUCAUCGCACUAUUAACUUUUCUGCACUCUCAAUUUCUUGCAUUUCUUUUCGCUUCAAUCAGAAUAGAACUGUUUGCACUUUGAGACUACACAUAACAAUGGUGGGGCCACACAUCAGAGGCCAGGCCAGAUAGUGGAGCAAUCAAUCUUUACUGUGUUGCAUGCAAACAGAAAACAGACGACAGACGACAGUCGACUGAUAAUGCCCCACACUCGAUCUACAAGAAUGCAAAAUACAUAAAGACCAAGGAAAGUUUUUUAAUUGCAACUUGUCGCGGAGAUAAUUGGAAGGGAAUCGAUUGGAAUGCCAUGCCAUGGCAUGUAAACGAUGCGACGUUAAUGAGGCAGCGGCAAGGCCUAUAAGAAAAAUUUAGAACCUUCAAAUGUUCAAAAAUUUAUAAGAAUUUUUGUAUUGUAUUUCAUUACAGACCUUAAAUAUGACGAAAGUAAAGCUAAUUAUAAAGAA
Molecule: long non-coding RNA, 759 nt
Organism: Drosophila pseudoobscura
Lineage: Eukaryota; Metazoa; Arthropoda; Insecta; Diptera; Drosophilidae
Exons: 2
Source: RefSeq, a predicted model, not a curated record